Molecule: ribosomal RNA, 406 nt
Filed under: uncultured bacterium
Lineage: Bacteria
Description: partial 16S ribosomal RNA
Rfam family: Bacterial small subunit ribosomal RNA
Source: RNAcentral
AUUGAACGCUGGCGGCAGGCCUAACACAUGCAAGUCGAGCGAGUGGCGGACGGGUGAGUAAUGUCUGGGGAACUGCCCGAUAGAGGGGGAUAACUACUGGAAACGGUGGCUAAUACCGCAUACCAUCGGAUGUACCCAGAUGGGAUUAGCUAGUGGGUGGGGUAAAGGCUCACCUAGGCGACGAUCCCUAGCUGGUCUGAGAGGAUGAUCAGCCACACUGGGACUGAGACACGGCCCAGACUCCUACGGGAGGCAGCAGUGGGGAAUAUUGCACAAUGGGCGCAAGCCUGAUGCAGCCAUGCCGCGUGUAUGAAGAAGGCCUUAGGGUUGUAAAGUACUUUCAGCGGGGAGGCGUUACCCGCAGAAGAAGCACCGGCUAACUCCGUGCCAGCAGCCGCGGUAAUUC